GAUGAACGCUGGCGGCGUGCCUAGUACAUGCAAGUCGAGCGAACAGACGAGGAGCUUGCUCCUCUGACGUUAGCGGCGGACGGGUGAGUAACACGUGGAUAACCUACCUAUAAGACUGGGAUAACUUCGGGAAACCGGAGCUAAUACCGGAUAAUAUAUUGAACCGCAUGGUUCAAUAGUGAAAGACGGUUUUGCUGUCACUUAUAGAUGGAUCCGCGCCGCAUUAGCUAGUUGGUAAGGUAACGGCUUACCAAGGCGACGAUGCGUAGCCGACCUGAGAGGGUGAUCGGCCACACUGGAACGGAGACACGGUCCAGACUCCUACGGGAGGCAGCAGUAGGGAAUCUUCCGCAAUGGGCGAAAGCCUGACGGAGCAACGCCGCGUGAGUGAUGAAGGUCUUCGGAUCGUAAAACUCUGUUAUUAGGGAAGAACAAAUGUGUAAGUAACUAUGCACGUCUUGACGGUACCUAAUCAGAAAGCCACGGCUAACUACGUG
Molecule: ribosomal RNA, 497 nt
Filed under: uncultured bacterium
Lineage: Bacteria
Description: partial 16S ribosomal RNA
Rfam family: Bacterial small subunit ribosomal RNA
Source: RNAcentral